RNAcentral lists this ribosomal RNA (274 nucleotides) under uncultured bacterium. Its description in RNAcentral is "partial 16S ribosomal RNA". It matches the Rfam family "Bacterial small subunit ribosomal RNA", at positions 523 to 796 of the family's 1533-position model. The record is from RNAcentral.
AUACGGAGGGUGCAAGCGUUACUCGGAAUCACUGGGCGUAAAGCGCGCGCAGGCGGCUAUUUAAGUUGGAUGUGAAAGCCUACGGCUCAACCGUAGAACUGCAUCCAAAACUAUUUAGCUAGAGUGUGGGAGAGGAAGAUGGAAUUAGUUGUGUAGGGGUAAAAUCCGUAGAGAUAACUAGGAAUACCAAAAGCGAAGGCAAUCUUCUGGAACACUACUGACGCUGAGGCGCGAAGGCGUGGGGAGCAAACAGGAUUAGAUACCCUAGUAGUCC